Molecule: ribosomal RNA, 254 nt
Filed under: uncultured bacterium
Lineage: Bacteria
Description: partial 16S ribosomal RNA
Rfam family: Bacterial small subunit ribosomal RNA
Source: RNAcentral
UACGUAGGGUCCGAGCGUUGUCCGGAAUUAUUGGGCGUAAAGGGCUCGUAGGCGGUUCGUCACGUCGGGAGUGAAAACUUGGGGCUUAACCCUGAGCUUGCGGUCGAUACGGGCAUGACUGGAGUUCGGCAGGGGAGACUGGAAUUCCUGGUGUAGCGGUGAAAUGCGCAGAUAUCAGGAGGAACACCGGUGGCGAAGGCGGGUCUCUGGGCCGAUACUGACGCUGAGGAGCGAAAGCGUGGGGAGCGAACAGG